AUGACUGAAAGAAGUAAAAGAGUAGAGGGAGGCGGGGGAAUAAACUGCAUAAAAAUACAAAUAUAUCUAUCUAUAUGUUUAUUUACAUAGAUAAAACACAGCGGUUGGGGGGGGGGUAUUCCUAUAGACAUAUAUCAUCAUUAUAAUAAUUUUGUGUUUAUUUCUUUUUCUUGUUUUUCCAUGCUGGCAUGGGUUGGACGGGUCAUUCAUGGUCUGCUUCGUCUUACAUGCUCACAUACAGAGCACUGCAUAAAACCCACUGUCUUCGAUGUUAUGUAUGUCUUAAGUGCAUCCUUUCAUGACCCUCCCUUCUCGCCACCAGAGAGGUUGUCCCAUGCAAAGAGGAAAUCAAGAGUCUCUCUCUCUGUACUCUGCAUCAGUUCUUAUUCGCAUGGGUGGCUUGCAAGUGUGGUCUGCAGAGUACAUGCCUUUGCCUUGCCUACAAUAGUAUGGUUCAUAAUGUGGCAAGCAGAACCUCUCUGGCUAAGUUCAUCUAUCAGAUGUUGACACACCUUCAUUAGAGCUUUAGAUUGCUCCAGCAUGUGUAUUCUCCAGCUCCUGUUAUCAUUUGAUAAAGGGAUAGAUAUAAUUAUAAUUUUGUUAUACAAGGUGCAGUUUUAUUAGAAAUGCUUUAAUUGUUAUCUGUAAUGUAUGUGUGCAUAGACUUGUGCUAGCUUUAGCCAUGCUGAGACACUACCAUUCUUAUAUACAUAUAUAUAUAUAUAUAUAUACAGACACAUUUUUACACCUUAUCUCAUAGUUGUAAUAGUUUUUGGCAGUUAACUUUAUUAACACCUACUGCCUGCUCUGAGUAUGUAUAGCAUGUGCCUGAUUCAGACAUUCACACACACACAGCCGUUUUAGACAAACUAUAAUUCCAGCUUCUAAUUUCAUCCUUCUAAUCAUUGCACCCCUUUUUUUUUUUACUUUAAACCUUGCUUAAAACCAUCCUAAAAUGGUAAUGCAUUGAUUCCAAACAUGGACAAAUAUAUAUGGACAAAGGGAAAAAGGUGAGAAAGAUAAGUGUGGUUUAAUAGUCCAUGCUGGAGCAGACUUGUUAAAUAUCUAGGUUUAAAGGGUUGUAUGUACCAUGGUGUCUGUGUCUGGUUUGACAAUCACAGUUUAAUUAGGUAGAUUGUUAAUUAAAGAAUUAGGGAUUCAAAUCUUGUAAUCUGUGGUGCAGUGUCUGUGGGCCCAGUUCAGCUGGUUGUAAAUAUGUUGGCAGAGAGUGGGUGCUACUCCCUAUCAUGAGGACAUACAUAGUGCACACACAUAUAUUUAUACUAAACACUCACCAACAUACACAACACACAUCUACUGAUAACACAGUGGGAGCACUAAAAAUUGACGAGUAUUUCUCUUUAGUUUGCAACUCUAAAUUUGCUUCUCUGGUUUGGGCAGGGAUGCAGUCUUCGGUGAUUUGUCUAUUAUAAACUCACUACCACUGUUAUAACCCCACCACUGAAAACUCCCCGGCCUUGUGGAGCAAUGUGUUAAUUAUACAUAUUGCCCCUGUUCCCGUGUAAGGCUUUGCUGGUGACCCAAAUGGAGUUAGACAGCAACUCUACCCCAGGGAAAGUACACGACGGUGUUUUUAAGUUUUAUAGUUUAAGCUGCGGAAUACGAGUGAAUAAUGGGCAACUGACAGAGAAAUGUUUACAAAGCUGGGCUACAAACUUCCUAAUGACAGUUCAAAUCUUGUUAGGGUCGACUUUUAUCUUUUGCCCUUUUAUGAACAAGAUCAGGGGAUGGAAAUAUGUCUCAUAAAACACUUUAUUUUAUAUAUAUAAAAUCAUCCACCAGGAGAGAGAGGUACCUUAUGUCAAGUUUAAUCUUUGUGUCAUUAAUGAAGAUCUUGCUGUAUAGUACCUUUACUACUCCAUGGCUUUUUUUUUUUUUGGAGGGGUUGUUUUUUUAACUGAGUCAUCACACCAUCAUCAUCAUCAUCAUAACCAUUUCAGUCUUCACUCAGUGACUUGCUUCUCCUCACCCCACCCCCACCUUAUUUAUACUCAGUCAGCUUGCCUUCCUAUAUAAAUUAUGGUUGAUUUUUUUUGUAGUUUUUUUUUCUUAUACAAAAAAAAAAAAAGGAAAAAUUGUUUUUAAAAACGACUGGCAAAAUUUUUUUUAACGCUUUUUUUUUUCUGUGUGUGUAUAAAACUCCUAGAAAUAUAAAACCCUUCCAUCCUAAACCCCUGACCUCUUCCCCCACCCACCCCCACCCCUUCCCGACUCAAGUUUGUUCUUUAAUAACUUCAUUGAGAUGCAGGUUACUCAAACAGUCAAGGACAUCUUCAGAGUCAAUCUGAAACUCAUAUCAAGACUGUUCCAUCUAUUUGUAAUAUUAUUAUUAAUAUUAUUAUUAUUAUUAUAAUAAAAAUUAGGAUUAUCAAUUUAUCUACCAUACAAGGAAAUCCAAAUGUAUUUGAACAUGGAAAUAUUACAUCUUCCAAGGGUUUAUGAUUAAAA
This 2469-nucleotide long non-coding RNA is filed under the name Octopus sinensis (East Asian common octopus). RNAcentral describes it as "uncharacterized LOC118767149". Lineage: Eukaryota; Metazoa; Mollusca; Cephalopoda; Octopoda; Octopodidae. The record is from RNAcentral.